UACGGAGGAUGCGAGCGUUAUCCGGAUUUAUUGGGUUUAAAGGGUGCGUAGGCGGGAUGCCAAGUCAGCGGUAAAAAUGCGGUGCUCAACGCCGUCGAGCCGUUGAAACUGGCGUUCUUGAGUGGGCGAGAAGUAUGCCGAAUGCGUGGUGUAGCGGUGAAAUGCAUAGAUAUCACGCAGAACUCCGAUUGCGAAGGCAGCAUACCGGCGCCCUACUGACGCUGAGGCACGAAAGCGUGGGUAUCGAACAGG
RNAcentral lists this ribosomal RNA (252 nucleotides) under uncultured bacterium. RNAcentral's name for it is "partial 16S ribosomal RNA". It matches the Rfam family "Bacterial small subunit ribosomal RNA", at positions 524 to 776 of the family's 1533-position model. The record is from RNAcentral.